This 160-nucleotide small nuclear RNA is filed under the name Setaria italica (foxtail millet). RNAcentral's name for it is "U1 spliceosomal RNA". It matches the Rfam family "U1 spliceosomal RNA". Rfam says of the family: U1 is a small nuclear RNA (snRNA) component of the spliceosome (involved in pre-mRNA splicing). The record is from Rfam by way of RNAcentral. Lineage: Eukaryota; Viridiplantae; Streptophyta; Magnoliopsida; Poales; Poaceae.
AUACUUACCUGGACGGGGUCUAUGGGCGAUCAAGAAGAUCCAUGGCCUAGAUCAAUGAUCCACAUUGCACUUAGUGGAUGCGUUGGUUUACCAUCUCCUCAAGUAGGAGAGUGGACGUCGUAAUUUGUGGUAGAGGGGGUACGCGUUCGCGCGGCCCCUA